Molecule: long non-coding RNA, 364 nt
Filed under: Bos taurus (domestic cattle)
Lineage: Eukaryota; Metazoa; Chordata; Mammalia; Artiodactyla; Bovidae
Description: long non-coding RNA NONBTAT025580
Source: RNAcentral
CCUCUACUUAAGAAAACAAGUAUGCAGUAUCAGAAAACAUUUAGAUCCACCUGGAUAUGUUCAAAGUACACACAGUGUAACAGAUAUUACACUUGUAUGACAAAUAAACCUAGGUUUUCGUUUCUCUCCCUUUAUUGAAUUUUCUUUAAGAAAAAUAAUAAUAUGAAUGGCUUUGUGUAUAUGUAAAUGUUAAUGCAGAUAUUGGAGAACAAACUACAGAUUUAUAUCUUCUCCACCAAUUUGUGUCAAAUGCUUCCUAAUUUAAUCCUUGCAUGCCUCCCCACCCUUCCAAAAAAUAAUACUGUUUUGAUAGUUAGAUUCUAGAUGGGAGACACAAGUACCGGCAACAAAAUCCCACUGUGUA